RNAcentral lists this ribosomal RNA (492 nucleotides) under uncultured bacterium. Its description in RNAcentral is "partial 16S ribosomal RNA". It matches the Rfam family "Bacterial small subunit ribosomal RNA", at positions 29 to 507 of the family's 1533-position model. The record is from RNAcentral.
AGUGAACGCUGGCGGUAGGCCUAACACAUGCAAGUCGAACGGCAGCACAGUAAGAGCUUGCUCUUACGGGUGGCGAGUGGCGGACGGGUGAGGAAUACAUCGGAAUCUACCUUUUCGUGGGGGAUAACGUAGGGAAACUUACGCUAAUACCGCAUACGACCUACGGGUGAAAGCAGGGGAUCUUCGGACCUUGCGCGAUUGAAUGAGCCGAUGUCGGAUUAGCUAGUUGGCGGGGUAAAGGCCCUCCAAGGCGACGAUCCGUAGCUGGUCUGAGAGGAUGAUCAGCCACACUGGAACUGAGACACGGUCCAGACUCCUACGGGAGGCAGCAGUGGGGAAUAUUGGACAAUGGGCGCAAGCCUGAUCCAGCCAUACCGCGUGGGUGAAGAAGGCCUUCGGGUUGUAAAGCCCUUUUGUUGGGAAAGAAAAGCAGCAGGUUAAUACCCCGCUGUUCUGACGGUACCCAAAGAAUAAGCACCGGCUAACUUCGUG